AGAGUUUGAUCAUGGCUCAGAUUGAACGCUGGCGGCGUGCCUAACACAUGCAAGUCGAGCGGUAACAGGUGUAGCAAUACAUGCUGACGAGCGGCGAACGGGUGAGUAAUGCUUCGGAAUCUACCCUCUAGUGGGGAAUAACCAGCCGAAAGGUUGGCUAAUACCGCAUACGUCCUACGGGAGAAAGCAGGGGAUCGUAAGACCUUGCGCUGAUGGAUGAGCCGAAGUCGGAUUAGCUAGUUGGUGAGGUAACGGCUCACCAAGGCGACGAUCCGUAGCUGGUCUGAGAGGACGACCAGCCACACUGGGACUGAGACACGGCCCAGACUCCUACGGGAGGCAGCAGUGGGGAAUAUUGAACAAUGGGGGCAACCCUGAUCCAGCGACGCCGCGUGUGUGAAGAAGGCCUGCGGGUUGUAAAGCACUUUUAGUGGGGAUGAAAUGUGCAGGGUUAAUACCUCUGCAUUUUGACCUAACCCACAGAAAAAGCACCGGCUAACUCUGUGCCAGCAGCCGCGGUAAUACAGAGGGUGCAAGCGUUAAUCGGAAUUACUGGGCGUAAAGCGUGCGCAGACGGUUAUAUAAGUCGGGUGUGAAAGCCCCGGGCUCAACCUGGGAAUUGCAUUCGAGACUGUGCAGCUAGGGUACGGAAGAGGGAAGCGGAAUUUCAGGUGUAGCGGUGAAAUGCGUAGAUAUCUGAAGGAACACCAGUGGCGAAAGCGGCUUCCUGGUCCAGUACCGACGUUCAGGCACGAAAGCGUGGGGAGCAAACAGGAUUAGAUACCCUAGUAGUCC
This 795-nucleotide ribosomal RNA is filed under the name uncultured bacterium. Its description in RNAcentral is "bacterial SSU rRNA". It matches the Rfam family "Bacterial small subunit ribosomal RNA", at positions 8 to 796 of the family's 1533-position model. The record is from RNAcentral.